RNAcentral lists this ribosomal RNA (305 nucleotides) under uncultured bacterium. RNAcentral's name for it is "bacterial SSU rRNA". It matches the Rfam family "Bacterial small subunit ribosomal RNA", at positions 335 to 655 of the family's 1533-position model. The record is from RNAcentral.
UGCCUACGGGGGGCAGCAGUGGGGAAUAUUGGGCAAUGGGCGCAAGCCUGACCCAGCAAUGCCGCGUGAAGGAAGAAGGCCCUCGGGUUGUAAACUUCUUUUAUCAGGGACGAAGGAUGUGACGGUACCUGAUGAAUAAGCUCCGGCUAACUACGUGCCAGCAGCCGCGGUAAUACGUAGGGAGCAAGCGUUAUCCGGAUUUACUGGGUGUAAAGGGCGCGUAGGCGGGAUGGCAAGUCAGAAGUGAAAGCCCGGGGCUCAACUCCGGGACUGCUUUUGAAACUGUUGAACUAGAUUGCAGGAGG